AAUGAACGCUGGCGGCGUGGUUAAGACAUGCAAGUCGAACGGUGUUUCAGAUGUAGCAAUACAUUUGAAACGCAGUGGCGAACGGGUGCGUAACACGUGAACAAUUUACCUUUUAGUGUGGAAUAGCUCGGCGAAAGCCGGAUUAAUACCGCAUGUGGUUGUCUCUCUCCUGAGAGGCAUACUAAAGCCGGGGACCGCAAGGCCUGGCGCUAAUAGAGGAGUUCGCGGCCUACAGCUAGUUGGCGAGGUAACGGCUCACCAAGGCUAAGGACGGGUAGCUGAUCUGAGAGGAUGAUCA
RNAcentral lists this ribosomal RNA (298 nucleotides) under uncultured bacterium. RNAcentral's name for it is "partial 16S ribosomal RNA". It matches the Rfam family "Bacterial small subunit ribosomal RNA", at positions 29 to 306 of the family's 1533-position model. The record is from RNAcentral.